Molecule: long non-coding RNA, 1031 nt
Organism: Strigops habroptila (Kakapo)
Lineage: Eukaryota; Metazoa; Chordata; Aves; Psittaciformes; Psittacidae
Exons: 2
Source: RefSeq, a predicted model, not a curated record
CAGCGGUCAAAGCCCAGCUGACAUGGGAGCUGGCAGCAGCCACAGAUCUGCUCCGCUCACCAGAGUGGCACCUCGUCCCUCUCCAGUGUGUUUUGGCUCCACACCCAGACAGAUGGGCAGCCCACACCCCAGGGAACUUCUAAACCAUGCACAUGGAGCCUCAAUUUGCCUGGGAGACUGAGACACAGAGCUCUCCCAUGGGGAAAGCCCCAUGCCUCCAACGAUGCCUGCCCAGAAACGAGAAGCUGAAGCCACGCUGGUUCUUGCUGCGCUGUGCAUUGGAUUCCUCUUUCUUGCACCUUUGAGGUAGAGCCACAGACUCUCACAUCCAAAGGCACAGGCGCCUCCUUACAGGCGGAGGGUCUGCAGAAGUCUGGGAAAAGCCGCAGCUGGACACCGGGUGACAGCUCUUUCCUGUUUAUCCCCUGCUUCUCAGCCAGGCUGCCUCCAAACCGGCCUCGGGGCCAAGGCGCAGAGCGCACGGAUGCCGGAUGCCGUGUCUGUGGCUGAGCUGGUGGCGCGGCGCCAGCUCUCAGCUUUCAUUGCCAAGCCAUACUUCGCCGCCAGCCCAGCCGUGCGCUCUCUGCCCAAGAUGGCACAGGGCACCCGCACCAGGCGUGAUUCUGUCCCUGGCACAGUCACACCUGGGGACAGGGAUUUAUCGGCUGGGCUGAGGUGCGGAGGCAGCAGGAGGCUGAGGGGCAAAUCCGCCUGCAGUUCGGCAGAGGGAACGGAGGGGCACCGCCGGGAAAAGAAAAUCGGUCCUACCAGACGUGAGCCUCAAAGCAGAGGAGAGGGCAGAGACACCAUGAGAUUUCCCCAGGGCUCUCAUACACGCAUAGAUCAUACAGCAGCACAGGGUCGCUGAGGUGGUUCUUCUCCACCCCUGCCAUGUAUUUCCACGCACCUGCUAAGAAUUUGAUUCUCUGUCCCUUCUCUUGUAAACAAAUGCAACUAGAACAAUUUUUAAUUACUUUUAUAUUUUAUGAAGGGAGGAAUAAAUAAAAGGUAACGAGAUGAUUGAGCAAAAA